GACGAACGCUGGCGGCGUGCUUAACACAUGCAAGUCGAACGGAAAGGCCCUGCUUUUGUGGGGUGCUCGAGUGGCGAACGGGUGAGUAACACGUGAGUAACCUGCCCUUGACUUUGGGAUAACUUCAGGAAACUGGGGCUAAUACCGGAUAGGAGCUCCUGCUGCAUGGUGGGGGUUGGAAAGUUUCGGCGGUUGGGGAUGGACUCGCGGCUUAUCAGCUUGUUGGUGGGGUAGUGGCUUACCAAGGCUUUGACGGGUAGCCGGCCUGAGAGGGUGACCGGCCACAUUGGGACUGAGAUACGGCCCAGACUCCUACGGGAGGCAGCAGUGGGGAAUAUUGCACAAUGGGCGGAAGCCUGAUGCAGCAACGCCGCGUGCGGGAAGACGGCCUUCGGGUUGUAAACCGCUUUCGCCUGUGACGAAGCGUGAGUGACGGUAAUGGGUAAAGAGGCACCGGCUAACUACGUG
This 468-nucleotide ribosomal RNA is filed under the name uncultured bacterium. Its description in RNAcentral is "partial 16S ribosomal RNA". It matches the Rfam family "Bacterial small subunit ribosomal RNA", at positions 28 to 507 of the family's 1533-position model. The record is from RNAcentral.